CAUUUCUACAGAUAUGUCUGUUCUUAUGUUCUCGUGAUCAUUAUUCGAUUGAUUAAAAUUUUCUUUGUUUAUAUACGAGUUAUGUGAAAAUAAGACCAUAUCUAAAAUCAAUUUAUAAAGCAUUGAUUGUAUAUGAAACCUUAAUAUUCUCUGAAGUAGACAUCUCUAUGCUUUGACUAAAAUCUAAUUUUAUUGCUGAACGGGAGCGAGUUUUUAUAUUUUCUGCUGAUGUGUUUCUGAUAUCAAGUAUAGAAGAUAUAUUGGGUGAUAGAUUUUCAGAAUUUUGUAUAGGUGUUCCAUGACGCUGCAUUUUGCGUGAAAAUUUCUAUAAAUAAAAAAUUUGACUUUGUAUAUCAUAUUCUACAUUGAUUUUUUUUCUGUAUAGAAAGUUAUGAUUAUUCCCAUGGGCUAGGUAUUAUCUCAUUUGUCAUAAAAAAUUUAUCAAUUGCUGCCUGAGCUUUUAAUUCAAUGUCUGGAUCUACAUUAUAUAUUUGCUCUAAAGGAAAUUCUUCUAUUUCUG
Vespula pensylvanica (western yellowjacket) is the source of this 520-nucleotide long non-coding RNA. RefSeq lists it as uncharacterized. NCBI's taxonomy places the organism in Eukaryota, Metazoa, Arthropoda, Insecta, Hymenoptera, Vespidae. The transcript is spliced from 3 exons. The record is from RefSeq and is a predicted model, not a curated record.